GGCCUCCCGCACCGAAGGGACCCUGGGCGUCUGAGGCCCUGAUCCGGGCGGGCCUUCAGGAUGUUAGCAGUCCCUGUCCGGUUGAAGGCCUGCGGGGCGGGGGCGGGGUGGCGCCCAGGACGACUCCCCGGGCUCAGCUUGGCUGCCUGCCUCCUUCUGUAAGUGCUUUUUUUUUCUUCACCUGGGACCCUCUAGAGGUUGGAAAGAGAAGAGAGGCUGGGAGCGGAUGGAAAGCAUGACUGCAUCUGGAGCCCCUGGGGGGAGUGGGGAAGAGGGAGUGGAAGGACAGUGGCUGAGGGGCUUCCUGUUGCAGCCUUCAGCUGGACUCAGGGUUGGGGUCACUGGAGGAGGAGGUGGCUUCCUGCCCCAUUGUUCUGGACUGCAGUGUUUCUUGGGAAUACUUACUGUAUGUGGAUUUUCAGUAACCAACUUGGAAAGCUGUAUUUGUUCCCAUGAUUCAG
RNAcentral lists this long non-coding RNA (461 nucleotides) under Homo sapiens (human). RNAcentral's name for it is "ZNF436 antisense RNA 1". The record is from RNAcentral. Lineage: Eukaryota; Metazoa; Chordata; Mammalia; Primates; Hominidae.